RNA transcript from Musa acuminata AAA Group (dessert banana), 1136 nucleotides. RefSeq lists it as uncharacterized. Lineage: Eukaryota; Viridiplantae; Streptophyta; Magnoliopsida; Zingiberales; Musaceae. The record is from RefSeq and is a predicted model, not a curated record. The transcript is spliced from 6 exons.
AUGGCUGCGUUCCGCCCUCAAACCCUAAAUUCCUUCCCUUGAUUUUUGCAUCUCAACCAUUUUCUCGAUCGUCGAAUCGAUGCUGAUGCUAUUUCUAAUCCCAACAGGCAAACCCAUCUGUGUUUGUUUCUGUUGCCUGCGGCCCCUUUUUGUUCUCUUGUAGUCUGCUAAUUUGAUUUGAUCGCUCUUUGGCCCUUUCCGUCGGUUGACUCGAUCGUGCAUUUAUUUAUUCGGGUGAUUCUGGGGCCAGAUUCGUCUCCGUCGGCCGCGUCCCAUUCCGAAUGAAGAAUCUGAUGACAUAUAUUAAUUGGAAGUGUGAAAGCUAUCUGGUUCUGCCUUGCAGAGCCUGUUAGAUGGAUAAACUUAAGGAAGCAACUGUCUCAUAGAAUACAUGGGAGCAGUUGUUGUGUUGGAGGUCUAGCCAAACCUCAAUCUUUACCAGAAAGAACGCCGAUGGCAUCUAAGAAGAUAAAUAUUGGUCAUUUUUCAGCACACAAAGAAAGCCAAUGGUCUUCAAGUCCAGAGGCAAUGGAGAACAAUAUUAGCACAUCUCAUUCCCUUGAGACAAAUUUCUCUUUAGCACCUAAUGCUGCCAAUGAGAUCAUGAUGUUGCCAGAGGAAAAUCAUAACAACUUAGUUACUAAUCAAGCUGCUAUAGCUUGGAAUGAGAUGCGAAGAGAAUGGGUUGGAGAUCAGUCUAAGAGAUCCCAUAUGGCUCCGAGAGAACCCACAAUAAGCUGGAGCACCACAUAUGAGGAUUUAGUCUCAACCACUCAACCUUUUCCGCAAGUUGUUUCUUUGGCUGCUUAAAUGUUUGAUGUUUCCUUGCAGCUGGAGCACCACAUAUGAGGAUUUAGUCUCAACCACUCAACCUUUUCCGCAACCCAUCCCAUUGUCGGAGAUGGUGGAUUUUUUAGUUGAUGUCUGGCAUGAAGAAGGCCUUUAUUAUUAGAGACUGUCGUCAUCAUAUCAACAUUGGAUCAUCCCAGUUCGAUCUUCUUGUGUGUAGAUUUCCAAGGAUGGUUGUUGUCCUUGAACCGUGCAAAUCAAACACAGAUGUUAACAGCUCCGAUGAUGUGGAUUGUAAGUCCUUCAUAUGAAAGUUUAUACAGCAUGAUUGUUAUUUUUUUGUGUCA